UACGUAGGGGGCAAGCGUUAUCCGGACUUACUGGGUGUAAAGGGAGCGUAGACGGCUUUGCAAGCCAGAUGUGAAAGCCCGGGGCUCAACCUCGGGACUGCAUUUGGAACUGUAUGGCUGGAGUGUCGGAGAGGCAGGCAGAAUUCCUAGUGUAGCGGUGAAAUGCGUAGAUAUUAGGAGGAACACCAGUGGCGAAGGCGGCCUGCUGGACGAUGACUGACGUUGAGGCUCGAAAGCGUGGGGAGCAAACAGG
This 253-nucleotide ribosomal RNA is filed under the name uncultured bacterium. RNAcentral describes it as "partial 16S ribosomal RNA". It matches the Rfam family "Bacterial small subunit ribosomal RNA", at positions 524 to 776 of the family's 1533-position model. The record is from RNAcentral.